RNAcentral lists this long non-coding RNA (226 nucleotides) under Gallus gallus (chicken). The record is from RNAcentral. Lineage: Eukaryota; Metazoa; Chordata; Aves; Galliformes; Phasianidae.
CCAGACCCCAUUCCCGGAGUGUCUUGAUGGCUCUGAUGCCCAUGUCCCGGCCACUGCGGGCUGUCACCAGGUAGGUGCGAAUGGGGGACUCCUCCUGGCUGAACUUCUUGCGUAUCUUCCCCAGGUGCAUGGCAAAGGCUUUCAUGGGACCCUCUCCUAUAGGCACGGCCUCCAUUGCCCGCUCAUACUGCAUGGCUCCCUCCAGGCCCUGCUCCUGGAAGACCUG